RNAcentral lists this ribosomal RNA (514 nucleotides) under uncultured bacterium. RNAcentral describes it as "bacterial SSU rRNA". It matches the Rfam family "Bacterial small subunit ribosomal RNA", at positions 15 to 518 of the family's 1533-position model. The record is from RNAcentral.
GAUUAUGGCUCAGGAUGAACGCUAGCUACAGGCUUAACACAUGCAAGGUCGAGGGGCAGCAUGAUCGAAGCUUGCUUGAUGAUGGCGACCGGCGCACGGGUGAGUAACGCGUAUCCAACCUUCCCUAUAGUAGAGAAUAGCCCGACGAAAGUCGGAUUAAUGCUCUAUGUUGUAUUUAGAGGACAUCUGAAGAAUACCAAAGGUUUACCGCUAUAGGAUGGGGAUGCGUCUGAUUAGGUAGUAGGCGGGGUAACGGCCCACCUAGCCGACGAUCAGUAGGGGUUCUGAGAGGAAGGUCCCCCACAUUGGAACUGAGACACGGUCCAAACUCCUACGGGAGGCAGCAGUGAGGAAUAUUGGUCAAUGGACGGAAGUCUGAACCAGCCAAGUAGCCGUGCAGGAUGACGGCCCUAUGGGUUGUAAACUGCUUUUAUAUAGGGAUAAAGUCGGGGACGUGUCCCCGUUUGUAGGUACUAUAUGAAUAAGGACCGGCUAAUUCCGUGCCAGCCGCAGC